RNAcentral lists this long non-coding RNA (1186 nucleotides) under Nicotiana benthamiana. RNAcentral's name for it is "long non-coding RNA (NBEN_LNC002819)". The record is from RNAcentral. Lineage: Eukaryota; Viridiplantae; Streptophyta; Magnoliopsida; Solanales; Solanaceae.
GAUAUCAUUGAAAGGGGAUCAGGAAGAUGCCAAAUUACAACAACAUAAAUUAUGUUAGCUCCUGUACAAAAGACAAAAAACAUUGUAAGCUCAAGAAUGCCUAUGCUAGAACCAGGGAGCUAACAAAAUCCAAAAAAGUAUGGACGCUAUUAACAGGGGAAAGAAAGUUCCAACUGAACAAACUAACUAAACAUAUAGCUUUUAGGGAAUGUGUUGGAGUUGAUAUUCCAUCAAAAAAUCUAUCAUUUCUUUCCUUCCAAACAAUCCAAAAUAUGACUACUGGGGUCAUUCUCCAUAUUCUUUUGAUGGCUUUGUCAACUCUCCAAAAAAUCCAGCUAAUAUAGGCUUCUUUGAUGGUGUGAGGCAUGAUCCAAGUUAUACCAAAAAUGGAUAGCAAAAAGUUUCAAAUAUCGGUAGAGACUUGGCAAUGAAGAAACAAAUGGUUAACACUUUCUGAUCUCUGUUGGCACAUAUAACAUCUGUUAACUAAAGUAAUGGUCCUUCUAAGAUUGUCAUAUGUUAAAAUGACUUCAUUGAGGGCAGUCCAUGUGGGCAUGCUACUUUGAGUGGCAUUCUGGUCCUCCAGAUAUGUUUCUAGGGCCAAUCAUCUAGUAUUCCAUUAUGUGAGCAAAUAAGGUUGUAGCCCUCUUUGACUGUGUACUUUCCUUCUUUUGAAUUUCCCCGGAUGAUUCUGUAUGGUUGUUGAUUCUUCCGUGAUGAAAUCUCCCGGUGUGGCUAGGAGAGCAAGUAAGUCAUUGAUUUCCCAAUCCUGAAGAUUUCUUCUAAACACUAGAUUCCAAAUGUUGUUUUCUCUGUUUUGAGCAAUAUUUGAGUCCUGAUUGCAGGCUAUUAGGUACAGACGUGGGUAUGAAUCCUUGGGUAUGAAUCCUUUAGUGCUGUAUUACCAAGCCAUAUGUCUUUCUAGAAUUUCACAUGAACACCACUACCAACUUUGAAUGAUGUAUUUUGAAGGAAAUAAUUUUGAAAGCUGCUUAUGUGUUUCCAUAAAGCCACUCCAUGAGGUGCUGACUUUUCUUGGGGCUCUGUGAUUCUGAAUUCCAUAUUUGGCGUCAAUGAUCUCCUUCCAGUAUGUCCAUACCUCCAUAGCCAUUUCAUUAGCAUACAUUCGUUGUGAAGCCUAAGAUUCCUGAUACCCAAUCCCCCAUAAGACUUUGGUUGAGUUACU